GGGGCCGUAGCUCAGUGGUUAGAGCAGGGGACUCAUAAUCCCUCGGUCGAAGGUUCGAUCCCUUCCGGCCCCAC
RNAcentral lists this transfer RNA (74 nucleotides) under uncultured Actinomycetes bacterium. RNAcentral's name for it is "uncultured actinobacterium tRNA-Met". It matches the Rfam family "tRNA". Rfam says of the family: Transfer RNA (tRNA) molecules are approximately 80 nucleotides in length. Lineage: Bacteria; Bacillati; Actinomycetota; Actinomycetes. RNAcentral also lists the same sequence under 1 other name. The record is from RNAcentral.